Rhincodon typus (whale shark) is the source of this 390-nucleotide RNA transcript. RefSeq lists it as uncharacterized. The transcript has 5 exons. NCBI's taxonomy places the organism in Eukaryota, Metazoa, Chordata, Chondrichthyes, Orectolobiformes, Rhincodontidae. The record is from RefSeq and is a predicted model, not a curated record.
CUUCCCCGGAUGUUCAGCGCGACGACGGCGGUGAGCGAGGAGGACGCGGAGGGAGGGAUUGAAUACCGGGACAAGAGUCACUACCCGGGAAUAAACACCCAUCCCGGGACUAUGUUUGAUGACUGAAAGCCUGCGUAUGCCUGAAAUCAUUAGCUGCUGCCAUCUUUGCUCAUGAGAAAAUGUCGGAUUUGGGGAAAGAAUUGGUUGUACAAUGUACCAAUGUUCGAAAAUCUCAAUCAAGGAAAGUACCAGAACUUCCCAUUCUGGAAAGGCGGAACUGGCUGAUACAUUUGCAUUAUAUCAGAAAGGACUAUGAAACCUGCAAGGCAAUAAUCAAAGAACAGCUGCAGGAGACCCAUGGAAUGUGUGAAUAUGCUGUGUAUGUACAAG